This 253-nucleotide ribosomal RNA is filed under the name uncultured bacterium. RNAcentral's name for it is "partial 16S ribosomal RNA". It matches the Rfam family "Bacterial small subunit ribosomal RNA", at positions 524 to 776 of the family's 1533-position model. The record is from RNAcentral.
UACGGGGGGGGCAAGCGUUGUUCGGAAUUACUGGGCGUAAAGGGCGCGUAGGCGGUGCUCUAAGUCGGAUGUGAAAACUCUGGGCUCAACCCAGAGCCUGCAUCCGAAACUGGAGUGCUAGAGUUCUGGAGGGGGUAGCGGAAUUCCUGGUGUAGCGGUGAAAUGCGUAGAUAUCGGGAGGAACACCAGUGGCGAAGGCGACUACCUGGCCUGUUCUUGACGCUGAGGCGCGAAAGCUAGGGGAGCAAACGGG